Molecule: ribosomal RNA, 417 nt
Filed under: uncultured eukaryote
Lineage: Eukaryota
Description: SSU rRNA
Rfam family: Eukaryotic small subunit ribosomal RNA
Source: RNAcentral
CAAUAGCGUAUAUUAAAGUUGUUGCGGUUAAAAAGCUCGUAGUUGGAUUUCUGUCGAAAACGGCCGGUCCGCACUAUGUGCGUGUAUCUGGUUCGGUUUUGGCAUCCUCAUGAAGAACGUAACUGCGCUUGAUUGCGUGGUGCGGUAUUCAUGACUUUACUUUGAGGAAAUUAGAGUGUUCACGGCAGGCCUCCGCCUUGAAUAUAUUAGCAUGGAAUAAUAAUAUAGGACCUUGGUUCUAUUUUGUUGGUUUCUAGAGCUAAGGUAAUGAUUAAUAGGGAUAAUUGGGGGCAUUCGUAUUAACGCGUCAGAGGUGGAAUUCUUGGAUUGCGUUACGACGAACUACUGCGAAAGCAUUUGCCAAGGAUGUUUUUCAUUGAUCAAGAACGAAAGUAAGGGGAUCGAAGACGAUCAGAU